AACGAACGCUGGCGGCAGGCCUAACACAUGCAAGUCGAACGCUCGUAGCAAUACGAGAGUGGCAGACGGGUGAGUAACACGUGGGAACCUUCCCUAUGGUUCGGAAUAGCCCAGGGAAACUUGGGGUAAUACCGGAUAAGCCCUUCGGGGAAAGAUUAUCGCCAUUGGAUGGGCCCGCGUCGGAUUAGCUAGUUGGUGGGGUAACGGCCUACCAACGGCGACGAUCCGUAGCUGGUCGUGAGAGGAUGAUCAGCCACACUGGGACUGAGACACGGCCCAGACUCCUACGGGAGGCAGCAGUGGGGAAUAUUGGACAAUGGGCGCAAGCCUGAUCCAGCCAUGCCGCGUGAGUGACGAAGGUCUUCGAUCGUAAAGCUCUUUGCGGGACGAUAAUGACGGUACCCGCAGAAUAAGCCCCGGCUAACUUCGUGCCAGCAGCCGCGUAAC
This 447-nucleotide ribosomal RNA is filed under the name uncultured bacterium. Its description in RNAcentral is "bacterial SSU rRNA". It matches the Rfam family "Bacterial small subunit ribosomal RNA", at positions 29 to 524 of the family's 1533-position model. The record is from RNAcentral.